RNAcentral lists this transfer RNA (137 nucleotides) under Tannerella sp. RNAcentral describes it as "tRNA-Ser". The record is from RNAcentral. Lineage: Bacteria; Pseudomonadati; Bacteroidota; Bacteroidia; Bacteroidales; Tannerellaceae.
GGGAAGAAAAUCGGGAAUUAACUAUAUCGCUAAUUUAUAGAUAAUUAAAAGUAAAUAAAAAUGAAAGAAAAUAGAAGAAAACGCCACAAAUCUGCCUUACAAGCAGAGGGUCGGCGGUUCGAAUCCGUCAACGCCCA